CGAAGCAACGCGAAGAACCUUACCAGGUCUUGACAUCCUCUGACAACCCUAGAGAUAGGGCUUCCCCUUCGGGGGCAGAGUGACAGGUGGUGCAUGGUUGUCGUCAGCUCGUGUCGUGAGAUGUUGGGUUAAGUCCCGCAACGAGCGCAACCCUUGAUCUUAGUUGCCAGCAUUCAGUUGGGCACUCUAAGGUGACUGCCGGUGACAAACCGGAGGAAGGUGGGGAUGACGUCAAAUCAUCAUGCCCCUUAUGACCUGGGCUACACACGUGCUACAAUGGGCAGAACAAAGGGCAGCGAAGCCGCGAGGCUAAGCCAAUCCCACAAAUCUGUUCUCAGUUCGGAUCGCAGUCUGCAACUCGACUGCGUGAAGCUGGAAUCGCUAGUAAUCGCGGAUCAGCAUGCCGCGGUGAAUACGUUCCCGGGCCUUGUACACACCGCCCGUCACACCACGAGAGUUUGUAACACCCGAAGUCGGUGAGGUAACCUUUUGGAGCCAGCCGCCGA
Molecule: ribosomal RNA, 506 nt
Filed under: Bacillus aerius
Lineage: Bacteria; Bacillati; Bacillota; Bacilli; Caryophanales; Bacillaceae
Description: bacterial SSU rRNA
Rfam family: Bacterial small subunit ribosomal RNA
Source: RNAcentral